UGAUGGGGAGCGAAAUUUAGUAGCGAAGUAGCUGAUUUCACACUGUCAAGAAAAGUCUCUAUCGAGGUUAAAGGUACCCGUACCGCAAACCGACACAGGUGGGUGAGGAGAGUAUCCUAAGGCCAGCGAGAGAACUGUUGUUAAGGAACUCGGCAAAAUGACCCCGUAACUUAGGGAUAAGGGGUGCCACCAUCAGGUGGCCGCAGAGAAUAGGCCCAAGCGACUGUUUACCAAAAACAUAGGUUUCUGCUAAGUCGCAAGACGAUGUAUAGGAGCUGACGCCUGCCCGGUGCUGGAAGGUUAAGGGGAUCUGUUAGAGCAAUCGAAGCAGUGAACUUAAGCCCCAGUAAACGGCGGCCGUAACUAUAACGGUCCUAAGGUAGCGAAAUUCCUUGUCGGGUAAGUUCCGACCCGCACGAAAGGCGUAACGAUUUGGGCACUGUCUCAACAACAGACUCGGUGAAAUUGUAAUUCCGGUGAAGAUGCCGGAUACCUGCGACAGGACGGAAAGACCCCAUGGAGCUUUACUGUAGCUUGACAUUGGGUCUUGGUACUACAUGUACAGGAUAGGUGGGAGGCUUUGAAACCAGGACGCCAGUUUUGGCGGAGCCAUCCUUGGGAUACCACCCUUGUA
RNAcentral lists this ribosomal RNA (634 nucleotides) under Clostridioides difficile. RNAcentral describes it as "partial 23S ribosomal RNA". It matches the Rfam family "Bacterial large subunit ribosomal RNA", at positions 1564 to 2210 of the family's 2925-position model. The record is from RNAcentral. Lineage: Bacteria; Bacillati; Bacillota; Clostridia; Peptostreptococcales; Peptostreptococcaceae.